GGUUGUCCAAAGGUGGUGAGUUACCUCCAUUGACUGCUCACAGUUAGUGCAAAACUGAAUUCCAUGUUAAAUAUCCCACCUCUUCUCACUAUUGCACUUGACUAGUCUUC
This 110-nucleotide Y RNA is filed under the name Mus pahari (shrew mouse). RNAcentral describes it as "sRNA (MGP_PahariEiJ_G0008354.1)". It matches the Rfam family "Y RNA". Rfam says of the family: Y RNAs are components of the Ro ribonucleoprotein particle (Ro RNP), in association with Ro60 and La proteins. The Y RNAs and Ro60 and La proteins are well conserved, but the function of the Ro RNP is not known. In humans the RNA component can be one of four small RNAs -- hY1, hY3, hY4 and hY5. The record is from RNAcentral. Lineage: Eukaryota; Metazoa; Chordata; Mammalia; Rodentia; Muridae.